This 301-nucleotide ribosomal RNA is filed under the name uncultured bacterium. Its description in RNAcentral is "partial 16S ribosomal RNA". It matches the Rfam family "Bacterial small subunit ribosomal RNA", at positions 509 to 809 of the family's 1533-position model. The record is from RNAcentral.
CAGCCGCCGCGGGAAUACGUAGGUGGCAAGCGUUGUCCGGAAUUAUUGGGCGUAAAGGGCUCGCAGGCGGUUUCUUAAGUCUGAUGUGAAAGCCCCCGGCCCAACCGGGGAGGGUCAUUGGAAACUGGGAAACUUGAGUGCAGAAGAGGAGAGUGGAAUUCCACGUGUAGCGGUGGAAUGCGUAGAGAUGUGGAGGAACACCAGUGGCGAAGGCGACUCUCUGGUCUGUAACUGACGCUGAGGAGCGAAAGCGUGGGGAGCGAACAGGAUUAGAUACCCGCGUAGUCCCUGUCUCUUAUAA